GGCUCAGACAGCCAGGAUGUUGGCUUAGAAGCAGCCAUCAUUUAAAGAAAGCGUAAUAGCUCACUGGUCGAGUCGGCCUGCGCGGAAGAUUUAACGGGGCUAAGCUAUACACCGAAGCUGCGGCAAUAUGAAUUUAUUCAUAUUGGGUAGGGGAGCGUUCUGUAAGCCGUUGAAGGUGCAUUGUAAAGUGUGCUGGAGGUAUCAGAAGUGCGAAUGCUGACAUGAGUAACGAUAAAGGGAGUGAAAAACUCCCUCGCCGGAAGAUCAAGGGUUCCUGUCCAACGUUAAUCGGGGCAGGGUAAGUCGACCCCUAAGGCGAGGCCGAAAGGCGUAGUCGAUGGGAAACGGGUUAAUAUUCCCGUACUUCUUAUAAUUGCGAUGGAGGGACGGAGAAGGCUAGGUGAGCCUGGCGACGGUUGUCCAGGUCCAAGUAUGUAGGCUGAUGGUUUAGGCAAAUCCGGACCAUCUUAAGGCUGAGAUACGAUGUCGAGCUACUACGGUAGUGAAGUCAUUGAUGCCAUGCUUCCGGGAAAAGCUUCUAAGCGUCAGAUUAUAAGAAAUCGUACCCCAAACCGACACAGGUGAUCAGGUAGAGAAUACCAAGGCGCUUGAGAGAACUCGGGUGAAGGAACUAGGCAAAAUGGUACCGUAACUUCGGGAGAAGGUACGCUC
RNAcentral lists this ribosomal RNA (672 nucleotides) under Photobacterium phosphoreum. Its description in RNAcentral is "bacterial LSU rRNA". It matches the Rfam family "Bacterial large subunit ribosomal RNA", at positions 1082 to 1753 of the family's 2925-position model. Lineage: Bacteria; Pseudomonadati; Pseudomonadota; Gammaproteobacteria; Vibrionales; Vibrionaceae. The record is from RNAcentral.